ACAGCAGUCGCCACGGGAAUACGUAGGUGGCAAGCGUUGUCCGGAAUUAUUGGGCGUAAAGGGCUCGCAGGCGGUUUCUUAAGUCUGAUGUGAAAGCCCCCGGCUCAACCGGGGAGGGUCAUUGGAAACUGGGAAACUUGAGUGCAGAAGAGGAGAGUGGAAUUCCACGUGUAGCGGUGAAAUGCGUAGAGAUGUGGAGGAACACCAGUGGCGAAGGCGACUCUCUGGUCUGUAACUGACGCUGAGGAGCGAAAGCGUGGGGAGCGAACAGGAUUAGAUACCCCAGUAGUCCCUGUCUCUUAUAC
Molecule: ribosomal RNA, 305 nt
Filed under: uncultured bacterium
Lineage: Bacteria
Description: partial 16S ribosomal RNA
Rfam family: Bacterial small subunit ribosomal RNA
Source: RNAcentral